AUUGAACGCUGGCGGCAGGCCUAACACAUGCAAGUCGGGCGAGCCGCGGACGGGUGUGUUAUGUAUGGGGAUCUGCCUGAUGGCGGGGGACAACAACUAGAAACUGUAGCUAAUACCGCAUAGCCGCAGAUGCACCCAUAUGGGUUUAGCUAGUAGGUAAGGUAACGGCUUACCUAGGCCACGAUCCCUAGCUGGUCUGAGAGGAUGAUCAGCCACACUGGGACUGAGACACGGCCCAGACUCCUACGGGAGGCAGCAGUGGGGAAUAUUGCACAAUGGGCGCAAGCCUGAUGCAGCCAUGCCGCGUGUAUGAAGAAGGCCUUCGGGUUGUAAAGUACUUUCAGUCGGGAGGCGUUACCGACAGAAGAAGCACCGGCUAACUCCGUGCCAGCAGCCGCGGUAAUAC
Molecule: ribosomal RNA, 406 nt
Filed under: uncultured bacterium
Lineage: Bacteria
Description: partial 16S ribosomal RNA
Rfam family: Bacterial small subunit ribosomal RNA
Source: RNAcentral